RNAcentral lists this ribosomal RNA (484 nucleotides) under uncultured bacterium. RNAcentral's name for it is "partial 16S ribosomal RNA". It matches the Rfam family "Bacterial small subunit ribosomal RNA", at positions 30 to 507 of the family's 1533-position model. The record is from RNAcentral.
AUUGAACGCUGGCGGCAUGCUUUACACAUGCAAGUCGAACGGCAGCGCGGUAUUCGGCCUGUCGUAGAGUUGCGGACGGGUGAGUAAUACAUCAGAACGUGCCCAGUUGUGGUGGAUUGCUCGGCGACAGCCGGAUUAAUACCGCAUUAGCCCUGAGGGUCUAAGCGGGGGAUCUUCGGACCUUGCGAUAUUGCACCGUUCGAUGGCCGAUUAGCUAGUUGGUGGGGUAAAGGCCUACCAAGGCGACGAUCCGUAGCUGGUCUGAGAGGACGACCAGCCACACUGGAACUGAGACACGGCCCAGACUCCUACGGGAGGCAGCAGUGGGGAAUUUUGGACAAUGGGCGAAAGCCUGAUCCAGCAAUGCCGCGUGUGUGAAGAAGGCCUUCGGGUUGUAAAGCACUUUUGGUGGGAACGAAAAGGACUGUGCCAAUACCACGGUUCGAUGACGGUACCCGAAGAAUAAGCACCGGCUAACUACGUG